AGAGGGUGAGAAUCCCGUACGUGACCGGUGACCGAUCCCAUGUGAAACCCCUUCGACGAGUCGAGUUGUUUGGGAAUGCAGCUCAAAAUGGGUGGUAAAUUUCAUCUAAAGCUAAAUACCGGCUGGAGACCGAUAGCGCACAAGUAGAGUGAUCGAAAGAUGAAAAGCACUUUGGAAAGAGAGUCAAAAAGUACGUGAAAUUGUUGAAAGGGAAGCGCUUGCAACCAGACCUGUCCGYMGGYGAUCAGCCGCCGUUCUCGGUGGUGCACUCGCAUGCGAUCAGGCCAGCAUCGGUUCGGGCGGUCGGAUAAAGGCCUUGGGAAUGUAGCUCCUCUCGGGGAGUCUUAUAGCCCUCGGUGCAAUGCGGCCAGCCBGGACCGAGGACCGCGCUUCGGCUAGGAUGCUGGCGUAAUGGUUGUAAGCGACCCGUCUUGAAACACGGACCAAGGAGUCUAACAUCUAUGCGAGUGUUUGGGUGUCAAACCCACACGCGGAAUGAAAGUGAACGGAGGUGAGAACCCCUUAGGGCGCAUCAUCGACCGAUCCAGAUGUCUUCGGAUGGAUUUGAGUAYGAGCAUAGCUGUUGGGACCCAGAUGGUGAACUAUGCCUGAAUAGGGUGAAGCCAGAGGAAACUCUGGUGGAGGCUCGCAGCGGU
This 656-nucleotide ribosomal RNA is filed under the name Protoparmelia oleagina. RNAcentral describes it as "eukaryotic LSU rRNA". It matches the Rfam family "Eukaryotic large subunit ribosomal RNA", at positions 207 to 884 of the family's 3401-position model. The record is from RNAcentral. Lineage: Eukaryota; Fungi; Ascomycota; Lecanoromycetes; Lecanorales; Parmeliaceae.